RNAcentral lists this RNase P RNA (405 nucleotides) under Cyclobacteriaceae bacterium. Its description in RNAcentral is "RNase P RNA component class A". It matches the Rfam family "Bacterial RNase P class A". Rfam says of the family: Ribonuclease P (RNase P) is a ubiquitous endoribonuclease, found in archaea, bacteria and eukarya as well as chloroplasts and mitochondria. Lineage: Bacteria; Pseudomonadati; Bacteroidota; Cytophagia; Cytophagales; Cyclobacteriaceae. The record is from RNAcentral.
AUCGCAAGCCGUCUUAUCGUCUCGUCUCGAUGCAACUCGAGGUCGGGAAGGAAAGUCCGGGCAGCAUAGAGCAUCGUACUUCCUAACAGGAAGGCCUUGACGUUAACCGUCAGGGACAGAAAGUGCCACAGAAAACAAACUACUCUCGACCGAUUUUUUCGGGCGGAGAAAAGGUGAAAAGGUGAGGUAAGAGCUCACCGCUUUGAUGGUGACAUCAAAGGCACGGUAAACCUUACGAGCUGAAAGGCCAAAUAAGCCCCGAUCUUUGGUGCGCUCUCACCAAGACGCGAGUCUGUCGAGGCGGGUAGGCUGAUUGAUGCUGAUGGCGACAUCAGUACCAGAUAAAUGAUAAGAGCCUGACGGCAACGUUAGGAACAGAACCCGGCUUACAGGCUUGCUUUUUUU